CUCAUUUUUCUAAUAAAAAUAAUUAUCAUAUAUAUAUAUAUAUAUAUAUAUAUAUAUAUAUAUAUAUAUAUUGGAAUCAGAUCCUAGAAAAAUUGAUUGGAAUCAGAUCGAAAGAGAGAGCCUUUUCUCUCGUUCUUUGCAUUAUUUUUCAUCGUUACGACCGGAUUUUCGCUGAUAGGUAGCGACGUGAUCAAAGGAGACCACUUUUCCUCACUCUUUGCAUUAGUUGUAGCCCGGUUUUGCAUAUUAGAAGACCUAGUUUUGGCCCAUCGUUUUCACUUGUCCGCCGGUCCAUUCCCUGAAGUGCGAUGGGCAUGUAGAACUGGAUCUUUUCGUGGAUGCCUGUCAGCUGUUUGCAGAAAUUUCGAACAGAAAUAGGGUGUUCACCUGAAUUCGGGCUCAUGCCGAGUGCAACAGAUGCAGAGCUGGUUGGCAUGACUGCGUCGGGAUAUCCAUCUCUCUCAGCUUCUCAAAGUCUCUACUCAGCUUUGAUGGACCUUGGAUGGCAUCUAGUUUAUCUUUCAUAUGAAGCUACCUGCUAGCAGCCUUUCACUAUUUCUCAUAGUCAAAAUCCUACACAAUUUCAGAAGAGGAGGAAUCAAAGGAAAAUGACACAUCUUUUGUCACAUUUCUUUUUUUCUGAAAUUCUCAAAAUUACUAUAGUUUCUCUUUGGUAAAACACCUGAAGUCGUCUUUGUUAAGCUGUUCGAUAGACAUAGGAUCUUCAAUCAUUUUAUGCUAUAACUUCUGGUAUCCUGAUUCUGAUCUCGAUCCUGGUUUCGAGAUUAUCUUGCAAUUAGUUACUACUCUUGAGGUGCUUCUCUCUACUUAUCUCAUUUUGCUUUUCUUCCUAAAUAGAUGCUGAUUUUUUGUUCUUCUACUGUUGUAGCAAUUGAAGAAAAAAAAUGCAUUCCUUCCCGGAUUUAGCUACUCUAUUUUUCUUCAAUUUGUAUGACAUAUGUUGGCACAUUAGUUACUUAACCAGAGGCACAUGACUUUUUCUUUUUUGAUAAUAUUCUUUCACUUCUAGAUUUGCUUUAGUAGAAUCUAUCCUGGCAUUUUGGUACACCAGCAAAACUUGAAACAAAAUUUGGCCAUAUUGUUGGCAUUUGACUGCAUUGCAAUUUACAAUACAUUCAAGUAAUCAUUCCUUUAGGCUACAACAAAUGAAGCCUCGUCUUUUUGCCCCUUAAAAUUUGUGUGUUGCCUUGUUACUCUUAGUUCGAUAAGCAUUUUAGAUUGACACAAGUACUAGUGUAGUCGAUAACUGAAGUAUAUCAAUUCAUCAUUUAGUCAAUAUGGUGGGGCAUUUUUUCUUCUCAAUCCCUCACAGUUCCUUCUUAACUCUAGAAUGGUGCCAUCAAGAGAAACACUGUCCGGUCAAGAUGUUGGCGGGGCCCUAGGUUCUGACAAUUUGCAGUUGUCAUGAUAAGGGUGUCAAGAACUAAUGUAGCUGCUAAAUCAAACAUUUCAAAAAUGUUAUUGUCCAUGCACAUGCAUUGCUUUUCUUAGCAGGCAGAGGCCACCAUGCUAGUCCUAUUUACAUGUUCUUUUCAUCUUCACAGAAGCCACCUUUCAAGCUUUGGACCAUACCCAAGAGCUCCAGAUCCUUCAACAUGAUACAUUGCAUUCAGUGCAUGCCAUCUGCAGGUCAACAGUUGCAGACAGUUGUUUCUGCCACCCUGUCCGGAAACAAUUUGGCAAAAUGGGCACACCAUUCUCAGAAAGCAAGCCAUUCAGAGAAUCCAGUCAUGAAGAAGUGAGGAGCAUGACUCAUCUGCAAGACACCUUGCUUCAUAGCCAUGAAACUCGUGCCAUCAGAGAAGUGUUUCAUGGCAUCUAUGAGCAGCUUGAUAUGUCUCAUAUGGAUACUUGCAGAAGUUGAUCACUCCUACCAAUGAUUGUGGGAGCGUUUAGAUGCUAUCCCACUCGAUGAAGAGAUCUCGAAAGGGAUGAACAGAUUGCAAUGUGCAUGUCGAGAUCACUCCACAUAUCAUUAUUGGCAGAAUCUUUCUCCAAAUAGAUUGGACAAAGCUCAUCUUUGUCAAAGGUGAAGCAGGCUGUGGACAAGGCUUGACCUCUUGUGGGCAAGGGCGAAGCAUGGGGAGACUUAAAGCUUGUAAAAGACAAAGGAGCAGCAGCCAUGUGGGAAUCAGUCACCCAUCCACCUCAAGGACAGCCCAUGCCUGCAUCAAGACGCCAUGCAAGCAUUUAUAUCCAUUGGCGGCUUCCCCUCCCUCGCCACGCCCCCCACCAUGCAGCCGUGCCUCCAUCCCCUCCUCCUCCUCCUCCUCUGCCGCCGCCGCCGCCGGGGCCCAGCAGCCGCGGCCGUGAGCCCGCAGUGGCGCUCGAUCUUAUCACUUUGGCUUCCGGAGCUACAGGAGCCAUGGCAGGAAGCAACUCCUGAGACAACACUUUGUGCUUCGCUGCCAUGCGAUCCAUGUUUACGUUGUUGCUUUCUCUAUCAUAGCCCAAGUAACAUGUUUCACCCUCGAUGACUCCAUGUACAGAUUAUUCACAAUGCAAUAGUAACUCUAUGGAAUGCACUGUUCUUCCACAAAGGUCUCAUCGAUGGCUGA
Molecule: long non-coding RNA, 2579 nt
Organism: Musa acuminata AAA Group (dessert banana)
Lineage: Eukaryota; Viridiplantae; Streptophyta; Magnoliopsida; Zingiberales; Musaceae
Exons: 4
Source: RefSeq, a predicted model, not a curated record